GGAUGAGAGAGACGGCGAGCAGGACUGUCAUCACCUAGCUACUGAGAGUGCCCCCUGUCUGUGACAUUGAGUUCCUGGCUGACCUUGAGCCAUGAAGAUUCUUUACCUGCUCUUUGCUGUUUUCUUUUUGGUGCUCCAGGGUGCACCAGAAUUCUCCCAGGCUCAGAAUUUCAAUAUCAACUGCAUACGCAAGGGGGGUUUCUGUUUCUUUUGGAGAUGUCCCCAGAAUUGGAAACUCAUUGGAUUUUGCUCCAACGGGUACGUUUGCUGUAUAAGGUGAAUUAGUGACUAAUUGUCUAAGCAGGAUCUCCGGGAAUCUGGCAGACAGCCACUUGCUUCUAAAAUCAUCAGAUCCUGCUUCAAUGGAACCCUGAAGUGCUGUUUAACUGGGCUGUAAAGAACCUUGUAAUAAAAGC
Long non-coding RNA from Malaclemys terrapin pileata, 416 nucleotides. RefSeq lists it as uncharacterized. The record is from RefSeq and is a predicted model, not a curated record. The transcript is spliced from 4 exons. NCBI's taxonomy places the organism in Eukaryota, Metazoa, Chordata, Testudines, Emydidae.